This 1782-nucleotide long non-coding RNA is filed under the name Pan troglodytes (chimpanzee). Its description in RNAcentral is "long non-coding RNA NONPTRT009802". Lineage: Eukaryota; Metazoa; Chordata; Mammalia; Primates; Hominidae. The record is from RNAcentral.
UCCUGUCUCAGCACCAAAGGCACCGGGAAGGAUCCAAGUGACUGCCUCUCACCUGUAAUCUAGCCAAGAUACUGGCUUUCUUGGAGUUGGAGGAGUAGCUCCUGGAGCAGGAGACGCUGCAGAACCUCUUGGUCUUGGAGAAGAAGGCUUCCCUUGUACCCACGAUACCACACAUCUCACAGACAGCUGGGAAGAGAACUUAGCACAUGACUCACCCGAUAUGGCCACCUCAAAGCAAACAAAGUGAUGGGCCCUUCAAAACCUGGGGCACUGCAUUAACCAGGUGAGCCCCUGCCCCCACAAAGGCUAAUGGAAUAAGAGGAGGAAUGGGAGGUACUGGUGUGUAUAUCCUGAAUCUACCUGAAUGAAGUGCUGCUGCUUGGCCUCCCUUGGCUACAGAUGUCAACAGAGGGGCUGAUGGAAAUCCAUGAGGACGACUGGGGGAACAGGGGACACUCUGAAGGCACCUGGCUCAGAACCACUGCCAUCCAAGGAGCGAGGAGUCCCAGGGCUGAGCAAAUGCAGCGGGGAGGUCGGCAGUUCCCCUGCUUCCCGAUCCUCAUUUUCUGCUUCACUUGACUCCUCCAGAUAGGAGCUGCUGUCACUGCCCACACUGCUGUUAUAACUCCGGAAACUAUCAUAGCCACCAAACAGCUCCAAGUCGUCAUCUUCCUCUUCCUCCAUUGGCUCUGAAGAUGGGGUCUCCUAAUGGAGGAUGACACAAACCAGGUAGAAAGAAUUAUGAUUGGCUUUAGUGCACGGGGGGAGAAGCUGCAGAUCUGCUAUCAGCCCCCUCACACUUUCGGGAACCUUUCAAAUACCCCUUUUACAAACACCAAGAUCAUUACUCCUAUUUACACAUUUCUCCACCAUGAUGCAAUUCAACAGCUUAACAAGACAGAAAAUAUGUGUUAGGAAUUCACCAGGCUCCUCUGUGGAUUUACAAAUGAUGAUAUUUUAACAUGGUUCAAAUAGAAUACUGUAUAACAAUGUGGGCCAGGUGCGGUGGCUCAUGCCUGUAAUCCUAGCACUUUGGGAGGCCGAGGCUGGCAGAUCACCUGAGGUCAGGAGUUCGAGACCAGCCUGGCCAAGAGGGUGAAACCCUGUCUCUACAAAAAAAUACAAGAAAAAGUUAGCCAGGCGUGGUGGCGGGCACCUGUAGUCCAGCUACUUGGGAGGCUGGGGCAGAGAGGCAAAGGUUGUAGUGGGCCAAGAUCGUGCCACUGCACUCCAGUCUGCAUGACAGAGCAAGACGCUAUCUCAAAAAAAAAAAAAAAAAGUGAAAUAUCCUAAGGUACUUCACAAAGACUUUCUGGGGUAGAAGAUAUAUUAGAAAUUAAUUCUUAGCCAGGCACAGUGGCCCACACCUGUAAUCCCAGCACUUUCCGAGGCCAAGGUGGGUGGAUCACGAGGUCAGGAGUUCAAGACCAACCUGGCCAAGAUGGUGAAACCCCGUCUCUACUAAAAAUACAAAAAUUGGCUGGGUGUGGUGGCGGGUGCCUGUAAUCCCAGGUACUUGGGAAGCUGAGGCAGAGAAUUGCUUGAACCCGGGAGGUGGAGGUUGCAGCGAGCUAAGAUCGCGCCACUGCACUCCAGCCUGGUGACGGAGUGAGAUGCUGUCUCAAAAAGAAAAACAAAAAUUCUUCCCCGUUCAAUAUACAUCAAAAUGAUCUCAACUCAGAAACAAUUUAAGUCACAGAAAAGUUAAUUUGGGACCUAGACUGCUCCAAAGAGGAUCGGAGAGGCAGAUGACACACAGAUAACUAUGGCAUCUUGGUGUGU